CUGCAGAAUCCACUAGAUGGAGGAACCAGAUUUCACCCUCCUCAGCUGCCUCAGCAGGUACUGCUACAGAGCCAUGGUGACAGAAAACCAGUCCCAGAACUGAGCAGCAGGAUGGAGGGGGGGAAAGGAGGAAAGAAAACACACUUUGAAAGCAUGUACACCAAAACACAAUGGUGGGAAGGGCAAGAAGAGAGUUCAAGUGAAUGUACUAGAAUUUGAAGAACAGAACCUACUUCUGAAUGCAUCUCAGGGGAAGGGAAGAUAUAUAUAUACAUAUCAAUUCAAACAAAUGCUUGCCUAAGAACUGUGAGCUCAGCACAUGAAAAUGAA
Molecule: long non-coding RNA, 330 nt
Organism: Pezoporus flaviventris
Lineage: Eukaryota; Metazoa; Chordata; Aves; Psittaciformes; Psittacidae
Exons: 3
Source: RefSeq, a predicted model, not a curated record